UUUAUUGAUACACCUAAUUCAACAUUAAGCUUGUGAACUGGACCAUAUCUGUUCUUCUUGUUUUUCAAGUCUGACAUGUUUCAGUCCAAGGCUAAGAGAAACGUUUUGCUAACAAUUUUGAUUGCGACAUGUACUAAAAUAUGGACAUUUAAGUACGGAGUAGGUGUAUUUUGCAAAGAAAGAUUUUGAUAUAUGCAGUAGCAGUCUGCAGUUGUUAUAUCGUUUGGUAUGUUAUAUAUAGGUAAGCAAAGUCAAAUCAAGAAACAUGCUGCUCUCUUUGCCGCUGAAGUUUAGUGCUCAAUUCAAACUGUUAACAUCUCCUCUUAGAAGACAAUGUCACGUUGACUUUCAUAAUAGAUUUUUAUGUGUUCAUGGCCUUGUUUUUCCUUUUCAAUCAGUCUGAUAGUUACUCUCUGAAAUUCGAAGUUAUGAAGUAGUAUUAGAUUGACAUAUGAGGCAGUAUGUUAUUUGUGAAUCUUGUGGUGCCUGUUAAAUCAGCGGAUCUGUUCAUAACAGGUCCAUCUGACCAUUGAGGAGCAGGUCUGUGUUUGCUAAUAUGUGUUUCACUUGUAUUAUUUGAUUUGGUGAUCUUCAAUGAUCAGUCUGGUAUGUUUUUGUAUGAGCAUCCCAUUGCCCGUUCUCUUCAUUUUUCUUGCAUGGCUCUUGGCCUGGGAGUUGCUGAUCUGAGCUUCUUGUGUACAGUGUGAGGAGCCAACAAUUGUGGUGGGGGUCCCCAAGAAUCCUGAUCCCUGUGCAGCAACUCCAGCCUGCGUCUGUAUCACAUGCCAAGCCUCUGCGACCCGCUCUGGAGCAUCAAGCGGUCAGAGGUCAGAACUCGGAGCGACUGGGUCGGUGAAAAGCUCUUGGUUGACCCAAGGAUGUGAUGUGGGUAGAGAGAGACUGGGACACUACAGACCGGAGGAACAGCACAAAAGGUGGAGCAUGGAGAGAAGCUAGCUAGGUAGCGUCAAAUCCUUUGAUUCAGAGCCUUUUCGCCUCCAGCGAGACAAGGGCAUCUCUGCUCAUAUCGAGCCACUCAGCCAGGCCAAGGCUUGAAACGCUUUCUUCAUCUCACGUCAGAACAUGGGUGACAACACUGUUCUUGACUCUGAAACUCCCUGGAACAGAAAAGGGUAAGAUUGACGGCUGACGAUCGGUACGUGUGUGCUCCCUCAGCAUCAGGCAACACUCGACGGCUGGCUUGUGUGAUCGCGCGUGUUGCCGCGUAGACGCAAGUCUCCGGCUGACAUGAGCAGCAGCCAGCGAUCGGUUCAAAGUCCUCGUAGGAGGACCAUCUCUUCUGCAUCAGCCGGAGAAUUGUUUAUGGAAUAACAGAACGAGAAGGCUGGCUAUGGCUAGCAUCUCGAGAUCGCCGGUGCCAAGAUGUGCCAUACGCACGCACUGACUGACUGAAUUCUUCAGAGAAUUGACCCCGUUCUGGACUUCUGAUCGACCCUGAUCGCUCCGUGCCAAGCUCUAAUAAUUGGGCCCAGGUCCAAAGAACGAAUGUAAUGACCGUUCCUCCAUGUCAGUAAAGCCUCCUGUUUUGAGAUGUUAAAAAAAAUGGAAAUCGAAUUUGGACCAUGGCAUGGCCAGCGAUGGGGGAUCGAUAUGAAUGAUACUGAGGUUGCGUCCACGUAUCAUGGGGGUGCGUCCAUUCUACCAGCAGACUGAUGGUUUCGGGAGGCGUACGUGCCUCGAGAGCGGCAAAUAACAGGAGCAUUUCUUCUCAUCCUGCCAGAAUCUCUCUGAGGCGCGGUUCUCAAAUUUGGACCAUGGCAUGGCCAGCCAGAGAGCCACGCGGGAGGGAGGGGCGGUUCUUGUCCUCACCCGAGCUCCAUCAGUCAAGCUCAAGUACCCGCACCGUUUUACAUGUGGCCUUCUUCAGUUCUUCCUCUCCGUGACGUCGCUGCCUUUUUUACUUCUCCUUGUGUCAUGCUGACUUACGUUGCAAAGUCAGAAGGAGCGGUCGUCUAGCAAUUCAUUUCGCAAUUAUCUUGCCCGCGUCCUCGCCCGAACGAUCGGGGUGCAUACCUGCUGUAUUAAUUCUCAAGAUACCGUCUUCUAUUGCUACGUGGACCUCUAAUAAUUUGGAAAGGUAUGAAAUGAAAUUGAUAAA
This is a long non-coding RNA of Lolium perenne, 2119 nucleotides long. RefSeq lists it as uncharacterized. NCBI's taxonomy places the organism in Eukaryota, Viridiplantae, Streptophyta, Magnoliopsida, Poales, Poaceae. The record is from RefSeq and is a predicted model, not a curated record.